This 510-nucleotide ribosomal RNA is filed under the name uncultured bacterium. Its description in RNAcentral is "partial 16S ribosomal RNA". It matches the Rfam family "Bacterial small subunit ribosomal RNA", at positions 28 to 523 of the family's 1533-position model. The record is from RNAcentral.
GAUGAACGCUAGCUACAGGCUUAACACAUGCAAGUCGAGGGGUAACGAGAGGGAAGCUUGCUUUCCUUGUCGACGACCGGCGCACGGGUGAGUAACGCGUAUCCAACCUGCCCCCAACUAGGGAAUAACCUUGCGAAAGUAAGACUAAUACCCUAUAAUUUCCUCAGAUGUCAUCUGACGAGGAAUAAAGAUUUAUCGGUUGUGGAUGGGGAUGCGUCUGAUUAGCUUGUUGGCGGGGUAACGGCCCACCAAGGCAACGAUCAGUAGGGGUUCUGAGAGGAAGGUCCCCCACAUUGGAACUGAGACACGGUCCAAACUCCUACGGGAGGCAGCAGUGAGGAAUAUUGGACAAGGGGCGCAAGCCUGAUCCAGCAAUACCGCGUGUGUGAAGAAGGCCCUAGGGUUGUAAAGCACUUUCAAUAGGGAGGAAAACCUGUCGGUCAAUACCCGGCAGCUUGACAUUACCUAUACAAGAAGCACCGGCUAACUCCGUGCCAGCAGCCGCAGUAA